UGUAGACCUGCCCAAGCAUCAGGCUGAGAUUCCUGUGCCUUGCAGGACAGAUGGGAAUUUCAACCUACAUCUCUUCCAGCCUUGGAGUGGGCCAGGGACACACCCACCUUCCUUAUAGUAUGUGCUAGAGUUGGUGGCCAAAGGACUGAUGUUCUAAGAUAUUUGCCUACACGGAAUGAGCUAACAGCAAGUGGACUGGAC
RNAcentral lists this long non-coding RNA (201 nucleotides) under Fukomys damarensis (Damara mole-rat). Its description in RNAcentral is "lncRNA (ENSFDAG00000032308.1)". The record is from RNAcentral. Lineage: Eukaryota; Metazoa; Chordata; Mammalia; Rodentia; Bathyergidae.